RNAcentral lists this unclassified non-coding RNA (263 nucleotides) under plant metagenome. Its description in RNAcentral is "partial contains small subunit ribosomal RNA, internal transcribed spacer 1, and 5.8S ribosomal RNA". The record is from RNAcentral.
UUUCCGUAGGUGAACCUGCGGAAGGAUCAUUAUUGUAUAACCGAGGUGCGAGGGCUGUCGCUGACCCGAAAGGUCGUGCACGCCCGAGUGCCCUCACACACAUCCAUCUGACCCCUAUGUGCACCACCGCGUGGGUCCCCCUUUGGCUUGUUCGGAGGGGGGCUUACGUUUUCACACAAACUUUGUAUGCAGUGUAGAAUGUAUUUUUUGUUUUUGCGAUCACGCAAUCAAUACAACUUUCAACAACGGAUCUCUUGGCUCUC